GGGAUAACGACCGGAAACGGACGCUAAAACCGCAUAGGCUGGGAAUUCGCAUGAGGAUCCAGUUAAAUAUCCUUUAGGGGAUAGGCAAAGGAGGGACUUAUCACGCAUUAGCUAGUUGGUGGGGUAACGGCCUACCAAGGCGACGAUGCGUAGCCGGCCUGAGAGGGCGGACGGCCACACUGGAACUGAGACACGGCCCAGACUCCUACGGGAGGCAGCAGUAGGGAAUUUUCGGCAAUGGGCGAAAGCCUGACCGAGCAACGCCGCGUGAACGAAGAAGGUCUUCGGAUUGUAAAGUUCUGUUAUAGAGGAAGAAUGGUGUACGAAGGAAAUGGCGUACAAGUGACGGUACUCUGUGAGGAAGCCACGGCUAACUACGUGCCAGCAGCCGCGGUAAUACGUAGGUGGCGAGCGUUAUCCGGAAUCAUUGGGCGUAAAGAGGGAGCAGGCGGCCUGGAGGGUCUAUUGUUAAAGGCAAUGGCUUAACCAUUGUAAGGCGAAGAAACCGGCAGGCUAGAGUUCUAAAGAGGAUCGUGGAAUUCCAUGUGUAGCGGUGAAAUGCGUAGAUAUAUGGAGGAACACCAGUGGCGAAGGCGACGAUCUGGGAAGAAACAGACGCUGAGUCCCGAAGGCGUGGGGAGCAAAUAGGAUUAGAUACCCUAGUAGUCCACGCCGUAAAC
Molecule: ribosomal RNA, 680 nt
Filed under: uncultured bacterium
Lineage: Bacteria
Description: bacterial SSU rRNA
Rfam family: Bacterial small subunit ribosomal RNA
Source: RNAcentral